RNAcentral lists this ribosomal RNA (85 nucleotides) under Finegoldia magna. RNAcentral's name for it is "partial 16S ribosomal RNA". It matches the Rfam family "Bacterial small subunit ribosomal RNA", at positions 1457 to 1533 of the family's 1533-position model. Lineage: Bacteria; Bacillati; Bacillota; Tissierellia; Tissierellales; Peptoniphilaceae. The record is from RNAcentral.
CGAAGGUAGGAUUGAUGACUGGGGUGAAGUCGUAACAAGGUAGCCGUAUCGGAAGGUGCGGCUGGAUCACCUCCUUUCUAAGGAG